Molecule: transfer RNA, 77 nt
Filed under: Candidatus Curtissbacteria bacterium RIFCSPHIGHO2_01_FULL_41_44
Lineage: Bacteria; Candidatus Curtissiibacteriota
Also listed under: 5 other names
Description: tRNA-Arg
Rfam family: tRNA
About the family: Transfer RNA (tRNA) molecules are approximately 80 nucleotides in length.
Source: RNAcentral
GUCCCUGUAGUUCAAUUGGACAGAACGCUUCCCUGCGAAGGAAGAGAUUGGCCGUUCGAGUCGGCCCAGGGACACAA